GGCAGCCGCCGCGGGAACACCGGCGGCCCGAGUGGUGAUCGUGAUUAUUGGGUCUAAAGGGUCCGUAGCCGGUUUGGUCAGUCCUCCGGGAAAUCUGAUAGCUCAACUAUUAGGCUUUCGGGGGAUACUGCCAGACUUGGAACCGGGAGAGGUAAGAGGUACUACAGGGGUAGGAGUGAAAUCUUGUAAUCCCUGUGGGACCACCUGUGGCGAAGGCGUCUUACCAGAACGGGUUCGACGGUGAGGGACGAAAGCUGGGGGCACGAACCGGAUUAGAUACCCGGGUAGUCCCAGCCGUAAACGAUGCUCGCUAGGUGUCAGGCAUGGCGCGACCGUGUCUGGUGCCGCAGGGAAGCCGUGAAGCGAGCCACCUGGGAAGUACGGCCGCAAGGCUGAAACUUAAAGGAAUUGGCGGGGGAGCACAACAACGGGUGGAAGCCUGCGGUUUAAUUGGACUCAACGCCGGACAACUCACCGGGGGCGACAGCAAUAUGUAGGCCAAGCUGAAGACUUUGCCUGAAUCGCUGAGAGGAGGUGCAUGG
This 542-nucleotide ribosomal RNA is filed under the name uncultured archaeon. RNAcentral's name for it is "bacterial SSU rRNA". It matches the Rfam family "Archaeal small subunit ribosomal RNA", at positions 457 to 997 of the family's 1478-position model. The record is from RNAcentral.